UUUUAGCCCUGAUAGCAACGGAAAUCCUUUUAUGUUUUUUCUUAAAAACAUAAAAGAUUGUAGUGAAUAGCAGGAAUAGCU
This 81-nucleotide small RNA is filed under the name Flavobacterium gillisiae. RNAcentral's name for it is "Flavo-1 RNA". It matches the Rfam family "Flavo-1 RNA". Lineage: Bacteria; Pseudomonadati; Bacteroidota; Flavobacteriia; Flavobacteriales; Flavobacteriaceae. The record is from RNAcentral.